CCACGCAGUAAACGAUGAUAACUGGGCGUAUGCGAUAUACAGUAUGCUCCUAAGCGAAAGCGUUAAGUUAUCCACCUGGGGAGUACGCCGGCAACGGUGAAACUCAAAGGAAUUGACGGGGGCCCGCACAAGCGGAGGAACAUGUGGUUUAAUUCGAUGAUACGCGAGGAACCUUACCCGGGAUUGAAAUGUAGGAGUUAGAUGAUGAGAGUCAUUGUCCCUUCGGGGCUCCUAUGUAGGUGCUGCAUGGUUGU
RNAcentral lists this ribosomal RNA (254 nucleotides) under uncultured bacterium. RNAcentral's name for it is "partial 16S ribosomal RNA". It matches the Rfam family "Bacterial small subunit ribosomal RNA", at positions 795 to 1052 of the family's 1533-position model. The record is from RNAcentral.